GGGGUUGUGGCUCAGUGGUAGAGUGCUUGCCUAGCACGCCUGAGGCACUGGGUUCAAUCCCCAGCACCACA
RNAcentral lists this transfer RNA (71 nucleotides) under Marmota monax (woodchuck). RNAcentral describes it as "tRNA.Ala". It matches the Rfam family "tRNA". Rfam says of the family: Transfer RNA (tRNA) molecules are approximately 80 nucleotides in length. Lineage: Eukaryota; Metazoa; Chordata; Mammalia; Rodentia; Sciuridae. The record is from RNAcentral.